Molecule: non-coding RNA, 30 nt
Filed under: Rattus norvegicus (Norway rat)
Lineage: Eukaryota; Metazoa; Chordata; Mammalia; Rodentia; Muridae
Source: RNAcentral
CCUUGAUAUUCCUUGUGAGGACAUGGGUGA